This 381-nucleotide ribosomal RNA is filed under the name Salmonella enterica subsp. enterica serovar Senftenberg. Its description in RNAcentral is "partial 23S ribosomal RNA". It matches the Rfam family "Bacterial large subunit ribosomal RNA", at positions 873 to 1251 of the family's 2925-position model. Lineage: Bacteria; Pseudomonadati; Pseudomonadota; Gammaproteobacteria; Enterobacterales; Enterobacteriaceae. The record is from RNAcentral.
GGUAGCGCCUCGUGAAUUCAUCUCCGGGGGUAGAGCACUGUUUCGGCUAGGGGGCCAUCCCGGCUUACCAACCCGAUGCAAACUGCGAAUACCGGAGAAUGUUAUCACGGGAGACACACGGCGGGUGCUAACGUCCGUCGUGAAGAGGGAAACAACCCAGACCGCCAGCUAAGGUCCCAAAGUCAUGGUUAAGUGGGAAACGAUGUGGGAAGGCCCAGACAGCCAGGAUGUUGGCUUAGAAGCAGCCAUCAUUUAAAGAAAGCGUAAUAGCUCACUGGUCGAGUCGGCCUGCGCGGAAGAUGUAACGGGGCUAAACCAUGCACCGAAGCUGCGGCAGCGACGCUGAUGCGUUGUUGGGUAGGGGAGCGUUCUGUAAGCCUG